Molecule: non-coding RNA, 88 nt
Filed under: Herbaspirillum sp.
Lineage: Bacteria; Pseudomonadati; Pseudomonadota; Betaproteobacteria; Burkholderiales; Oxalobacteraceae
Description: SAH sequence
Rfam family: SAH (S-adenosyl-L-homocysteine) riboswitch aptamer
Source: RNAcentral
UGCAGCAAGGAGCGUUGCGACAGGGAAACCCCUGCCAGGCUUGAUGCGAUGAACAAGUGAUCCCACUUGGCAACCGCGCUCACGUUAC